AAGUCGUAACAAGGUUUCCGUAGGUGAACCUGCGGAAGGAUCAUUAAUGAAUGAAUGUAGAGUCGGUUGUAGCUGACCUCCUAGAGGUAUGUGCACGCCUUCUCUUUCAUCCACACACCCCUGUGCACUCGUGAGACAGAGGCAUUUGUUUUCCUUUAAUCGGGGAACGGGUCUCUGUCUACAUCACAUAAAAUCUAAUUUAUUUAAAACUGAAUGUAAUUGAUGUAACGCAUCUAAUACAAAGUUUCAACAACGGAUCUCUUGGCUCUC
Molecule: unclassified non-coding RNA, 270 nt
Filed under: fungal sp.
Lineage: Eukaryota; Fungi
Description: partial internal transcribed spacer region
Rfam family: Eukaryotic small subunit ribosomal RNA (bases 1-46)
Source: RNAcentral